Molecule: ribosomal RNA, 253 nt
Filed under: uncultured bacterium
Lineage: Bacteria
Description: partial 16S ribosomal RNA
Rfam family: Bacterial small subunit ribosomal RNA
Source: RNAcentral
UACGUAGGGUGCGAGCGUUGUCCGGAUUUAUUGGGCGUAAAGGGCUCGUAGGCGGCGUGUCGCGUCGGGAGUGAAAGACCGGGGCUUAACCCCGGUUCUGCUUCCGGUACGGGCAUGCUGGAGUGUGGCAGGGGAGACUGGAAUCCCUGGUGUAGCGGUGGAAUGCGCAGAUAUCAGGAGGAACACCGGUGGCGAAGGCGGGUCUCUGGGCCAUUACUGACGCUGAGGAGCGAAAGCGUGGGGAGCGAACAGG